This 2303-nucleotide long non-coding RNA is filed under the name Nicotiana tabacum (common tobacco). RNAcentral describes it as "long non-coding RNA (NTAB_LNC005168)". The record is from RNAcentral. Lineage: Eukaryota; Viridiplantae; Streptophyta; Magnoliopsida; Solanales; Solanaceae.
ACCCUUUAUUGUGAUAUCAAGUCGUUUUAAGCCUAGAUUUGUUCCAUUUUUUCAAUUAAGUGUUGGCAUGCCUAGCAAGUUGUGUUAAGCGCCAUCAUAUCCUUUCGUUGGGAAUUUCGGGUCAUGACAGAUACAGAUUGGUUACAGGCCUUGAUACACGAUUUGACAUGUUAAGCCCAGAAGCGACGAGGUCUUCUGCCCAUGAAAGGAUAGCAAUUAGCAAACAAUACAAUGCAUGGGAGCCAAGGACAGGCCCAUAAGAGGGUCAACUUAGCCCGAAAAUACACUAACACCAUUGACAUCUAGACCAAACCUCUAAGCUAUACAAGCAGCUUAGAUAAUAUGCAUAUUCAAGGCUUAUAAGCAUAUUUUCUAGUGCAAAGGACAUUAUAACGGAGUGCGAGAAAAGUAAGAUCUGAACGUGUAUGAUUACUAAUUUCCAAACAAAAAUAAACAAUCACACCUCAAUAAACAACCAUGGCACAUAACUCAUUGCUUUUUAGGAGAAGCCAGAAGGUAGUUAAGUGUAGAUUUGACAUAGGGGAUCCAUAUAGGCAAGUUAUCUAGUGCACAAACAUAGGCUAAAUUUAAAGAUACCAAGGCCAACUGGGCAACAGGUUCCUAUAGACAAGAUUUCUAACAUCAAGAGAUUCGUACAGUUGUUAAUUCAUAGUGAUCAAUGCACAGUCAUACAGAGGUUAGCAUAGAGUUCUUGAGGACUGUGUUCUAUGAAAGAUUACUCAAAACAGGUUGAUCAAAUGCAGAUAAAAUGAAACAUAUUUUCGAUUGAAUAUGAAGAUGCUCAGACAGUACAAGCUGACAUACAUGACCUUAAGAGGUAUGCUCUCUAUGGAAUUCAAAGUAAGAUACUUAGACAAACCAAUCAAGUGCAUAAAAAAAAUCUUGUUAACAUGGUUUCUACUCUUCUAGAACAGGAAUAACAGUAAGAUGGGAUCUCUUACCUUCCUUGAUAAAGAAAAUUACAGAUAAAUCAGAGUAAACAUACUAGGACCCAUACACAUGCUUUCACAACACGAUAUGGGAAUUCCUAAAGACAUGAUUUCUAAGGAGGAGCAAGUAUUAUGUUGUACAGAUGUAUUAUUGAUGAAAAUGAUUAGGUUAUUUAACUAAGGAUUUUCUUAACAUGAACAUGCUUCAAUGCACACUGAGACUUAAUAAUUGAAACAAAACAUAGAAGUCAAGUGACAUAGCAGACAAGGAUUGAAGGUUAACUUACAGACAUGCUACUAUGUUUUAGAAGUUAACAGGGAGCCAUUUUAAUAGUAAGAAGCAAAAGAACUUUCAAGUAAAAAGGUAUGCGAAUACAGGAGAAAGAAUCAUCGUAAUUCUUAUACAUGCCAACUAUUUAGACAACCUUUGAGUCAGAACUAAAACCCAAACAAAAGAUGUCUAUGAACAUGAUUUUUGUGUAGCAAACACACCAACAUAAUUUCACAGAGAAUAAAUGAGGCAUCUAGAGUUACCACACAUAGAGAAUAAAAGGCAUGUAAGAGUACUAACCAGUAUAGAAGAGUAAUGAUAAUAAACAAGAAAACCAGAAAUUUCAUAAUCUGAAAUAAGCAACAUAAAGAUUGCCUCAGUCACCAACGAAACUCUAAGUUCUCCGGUGCUUCAAAGUUCACGAGAGCCUCGUAGGGGCUCCGAGCAAUACUUGUAUCGGAGAAGGUUAAUGAACAAGAUUCUGAAGGGCUUGGGUUUCAGCCAGCCAAACACAAACCAAGAACAAAGAUGAAAUCCAGAAAUACUUCAAGAACUAAUAGAGAAUCUUCUGACAUAACCACAAUAAAUAAGAGAAAUGACAGGGUGUGAGAGUGAGAGAGAUGUGAUUGAUGUCUGCCUCUAACCGUGAUUGUCUGCCUCUAAUUCGAUUUGGAUUCAGUUUGCAUAUGAUUGUCUUAUUUCCUUAGGGAAAAAAUAUGCAAUCACGGUUUUGAAAUAACAAUCGAGAUACGAGACUGACUGAGCAAUCAGUCCAUAAAGGAAGAAAAUAUCCCUUUCAAAUUUACCUAGUCCAGAUUAGGAGUUGAUUCGACUUGAAUCUCGAAAGAUUCUCUUACGAUUUAGCCAAAUACCAUAAAUAAAUCAGUACCUAAGAACGUGUGCCAGAAAUAGUAAAGAAUCGAUUAUUAGAACAAGAAAAGGAAAGGAAAAAUUGAGGGUUCUCAUGUCGACUAGGGUUUUAGGGCAUUAGGGUUAGAUGAGAGAAGAGAGCAGGACAUAAGUGGGAUUAGAGUUAGGGGUGUUAAUGAAGUUUAUAUUUGAAAGGGAAGGGGAGAUUGAAG